Molecule: long non-coding RNA, 1558 nt
Filed under: Manihot esculenta (cassava)
Lineage: Eukaryota; Viridiplantae; Streptophyta; Magnoliopsida; Malpighiales; Euphorbiaceae
Description: long non-coding RNA (MESC_LNC007576)
Source: RNAcentral
UUCCCUUAUCUCUUCUUUUCUUUCUUCUUCAGAAAACAUUGACUAUUAGUCGAAGUUUCCAGGCUGUUAACGACAAUACCCAAGCCCCAGAGAGCAUCCUGAUCACCAACAAUACCCAAGCUCUUGCAUGUCCCCCUUUUUGAAGUCGGAAGUCUAUUAGACCAAAGUCCCAUCAUCAGCACCACUUCUUCCACUUCACUGCCAGCCACUGCUGUCUGCAAGUUGAGGCUAGAGUUAAGAUCCCAGCGGGUUUUGCUUGUGGAUUUGUGGUUCUAAUUGAAGUGGAUUUGUGGAUUUGCUUGUGUGAAUUUGUGUUUUUAACUGAAGGUGGAAGUGGGAUUUUAUUGAUUUUGUGCAUUGCUUCUAGUUUGCUGUGGUUAUGCAAAUCAUAGAUUUGCUUCUGCUGAUCUUGGUUCUAAUUGAAGAUGGGUUAUUGUUUGUAUUAUAGGAUUUAUUUUUCUUCUCAUUUGUGUUAAAAAUCAAUGCGAUUGUUGCUGGCCUUUUGUUGUUUGGUUGAUUAAUGUUUGGGAACUGUGAGGCUGAAAUUAGAUACCAAAGGACUGAUUAACCGAACCGAACUGAAAAAAAAAAAUCAGUUUGGUACAGAAUCAAACCGACCCAUUGCACACCUCUACUGGCUAUAGUGUAUCAUGUAAAAUUUAACUUGAGCUUUCUGAUGUUUUAGCAAAGAACAUGGCAUGAAGCUUUUAGCCUAAAAAUAAUUAGACAACUUCAAAUAGUCUAAUCUGUUCCAAGUAUUUAUGAUGUACAACGCUACAGUUAAAUCACAACCAUGGACAGCAACUUCAGGCAGCCAGUGUAAUUCUGAUAUCAUCAGAUUUAAUGUUCAUCUCGUCACUUGUGGUGCGAUCAUGUUUGCAUGCUAGCCAAUACGGUCACUAAGUGACUCUUAACAAAAAAAAACCUACCUCUUCAUUAUUGUGUUUGUAUUUUUUAUUUUUUAUUUUUUAACAUUUUCAGUUUUUAUUGUUCAAAAACUGAAAUAAUCAAUCAUGCAUUAUCAUUUUAGGCUUUUAGUAUACCAGUGAUUCACUCCCUUAACAGUGUCAUUUUUGGCAUGCCAAAACCAAAAUGAAAUUAAAAGUUUAAACCUCCCUUAAACUGUCAUUUGACUUUUUUCUAGGUCAUAGCCUAAAAAAAAUUGAAGUGGUGAACCCUUGGCUGUCCAUUUCUCAUCUGCCAACUCCCUCUUUACAGAAUCUCAACUCUCCAUUGCUGCAAUUGCAGCUUGAUUCGAUCAAUUUAGAAAUUGUAGUCUUGACUCAGAUCAGCAAUUUGGAUGCUUUAUAAAUUGAUUAAUAUAUAUAUAUAUAUAUAUUUUCUGCGAUUGCAGGUGGAAGAGAAGACUUUUCUCCAGGCAGGGAAAGGAUUUAGAUACUAUAACUGAGAUAGAAGAGAGUAUGGAGGAGAGGAAGCAAUCCAAUUGUGGUGGAGAUAAGAACCUAAUGGAGCCACAACAAGUGUUCUUGGCCAAGGCAGAAUUAUAUUGGUGCAGGCUCAGGGUGAGCAAUUGGAUGACAUUGAGUGUAAACAGCAG